Molecule: long non-coding RNA, 1206 nt
Filed under: Homo sapiens (human)
Lineage: Eukaryota; Metazoa; Chordata; Mammalia; Primates; Hominidae
Description: long non-coding RNA NONHSAT095060.2
Source: RNAcentral
GCUGCUGCCACGUAAGAAGUGUCUUUCGCCUCCCGCCAUGAUUCUGAGGCCUCCCCAGCCAUGUGCAACUGCGUGUUUACUGCUCUGGGCCCAGUGCCUCCCUCGCUCAAUGGAGUGACGGCAUCCAACUCACAAGACAGGAGACUCAACAGAAUGACCAAGUGGAGAAGACGUCUAAGUUCUCAGCGGUCUCAGCCGAAUGACUGAAGAGGAACCAGGGACAGGGAUGACUCACAUGGGAAGAGGACCCCACUUUGUUCUGUUUGAUUCUAAGAGGACACAGACUGCUUCAUUCAUUUCAGUUUCCCCAGCACCUGGCUUAACUCUCAGACAUGUUAGACGGUUUGUAAGCACCGGCUCUACUGAACUGGCAUCAAAUCAUGACCUGGUUCAGAAGAGACACGAGGACUGGAUCUGUUCUAAACAGAUUGUGCAAAGGGGAAAGACACAGACUCAGCAUUUCCACAGCUUUUAACAUUUCAGCGAGAGGUGAGAAAGCAUGUCAGGAACACAGGCCCGGCCGAUGAAAGUGUCUGAUGCUAACACAUGAACUGUCUUCUGCUGGGCACACUAAGGGGCCACAAGCAAGCUACGCCCCAGAGCCACUCCACAUUCUCUCUGGGUGCACUGGCCCUCGGCCACGCAAGGCCGCGCCAGCCUCCGAGGUGAGCCAGAAGGACACACACCUGUGGACUCGAUGUCCCUGACUUGGGCUCGAUGGCCAGCCCCAGGGUGACUCCGCCCGCCAGCGCUUUCUUCAGGCUCUCCUUGACCUCCGUCAGCUCCAGCUCCAGGCUGACACGCUCCGCCUCCUUCUGCCGGCACUCCUCCUCCAGCUGCUUCAGCUUCUCCUCCAGGAUCGCCUGCGGCUUCCUGCCGGCGUUCACUUCAAUAGCCGCUCGAAGGUCUUUUCUUUCCUUGCGGAGCUGGGCCAGCCUAUUCCGCAGGGCCUCUUUCCUCUUCAGCAGCUCCUCCUCUUUGGUCUGUAGCCGCUUGGCAUCUGCUUCUACCCGGUUCUUGCCAUACUUGUACUGGGCAGCAUUCGAACCCGUCCUUUUCACAACAGCCGCGGGAUCCGCUUUCUUUGGCUGACUGCUCAGAGUCUUCCCUUUUCCUGUGACCCCAUUAGACGCCACGGGGGGCUUUUUACCCUUGAGCUGUUGAAAUAAACAUAUAAGAACAUUAAAAAUAAACACAAAGUCAAAC